RNAcentral lists this ribosomal RNA (74 nucleotides) under bacterium. Its description in RNAcentral is "partial 23S ribosomal RNA". It matches the Rfam family "Bacterial large subunit ribosomal RNA", at positions 2853 to 2925 of the family's 2925-position model. The record is from RNAcentral.
UUGAUAGGUCAGAUGUGUAAGCACAGUGAUGUGUUCAGCUUACUGAUACUAAUCGGUCGUGCGGCUUGACCAUA